RNAcentral lists this transfer-messenger RNA (378 nucleotides) under Mycobacteriaceae. RNAcentral's name for it is "Corynebacterium sp001815935 Standard tmRNA". It matches the Rfam family "transfer-messenger RNA". Rfam says of the family: Bacterial tmRNA, also known as 10Sa RNA or SsrA, is named for its dual tRNA and mRNA-like properties. Its role is to liberate the mRNA from a stalled ribosome. To accomplish this part of the tmRNA is used as a reading frame that ends in a translation stop signal. RNAcentral also lists the same sequence under 1 other name. The record is from RNAcentral. Lineage: Bacteria; Bacillati; Actinomycetota; Actinomycetes; Mycobacteriales.
GGGGUUGAUUUGGUUUCGACUUCGUACAUUGAGCCAGGGGAAGCGUGCCGGUGCAGGCUAGAGACCACCGUUAAGCGUCGUAGCACUCAAUAAACGCAGAGAAGAACUCUCAGCGUGACUACGCACUUGCUGCCUAAUUAGCAAUGCGUGUCUGUCAGCCUAGGUUUUGUUCCUGACCUAGUAACUGGCAUCGACUAAGGAACUUGCCAUCCGGUUGCGUCUUCAGGGCCGGAUGGGACCACUACUGGAGACUGGGCCCAUCAUCCGGACGCGUUCGUCCGAUCCGGAGGGCCGAGCAGAGAUUCCGCGCGAACUGCGCACGGAGAAGCCCUGGCAAGAUGACGAAGGACCCGGGUUCAAUUCCCGGCAGCUCCACUA